GAGGGUAGGAGGCCACCUGGAAGACAUCCUUCUGGAGAUGCUGGAUGUGGUCGCUGUUGUCACAGAUGAUGCGGGCCAGGGACCCUUGCUUGAUUUGUGUGAGCUGGGCUGAAGUGAACACAUCUGGGUUUUCAUACCAAAACCUAAUAGAGAGAAGCAAAAAAGGCGCUUGAGAGAUUCGAGUUGAGCUAUGGCUCCUCGCUGGAUCUGCGAAAUUCGGUUGUUGUUCAAGAAUCUGGAGUGGAGACAACAAAGAGAACGUGCUUGAGUGACCAUUGAAGACUUGGGAAUUAAAGGCGGAAGAAUUGGAAAACGUCUGGUCGAGAUAAAACUGGAGGCAAGGCACGAGCGAAGGUGAAAUCCCGCUCUUCCAGAGCCGGGUUGCAGUUUCCUGUGGGUCGAGUUCAUCGGCUUCUACGUAAAGGCAAUUACGCCGAGCGGAUUGGAGGAGGAGCCCCGGUAUAUUUGGCUGCGGUGCUAGAGUAAUUGAGCGCUGAGAUUUUAGAGCUCGCUGGUAAUGGUAAUUUGUACUAAUAUUGUUUCCUGAUUGCUUAUUUGUACCCUAUGACUAUCAUUUGUGUUGUAAAUGUUGUACCUUGAUGAAGGUAUCUUUCCUUCUAUGUGCACUGAGAGCUAAAUAUGCACCACGACAAAUUCCUUGUGUGUCCAAUCACACUUGGCCAAUAAAAAAUUCUGUUCUAUUCUAUCCUAUCUGGAGUGGUGUACAAUAUACA
Long non-coding RNA from Ahaetulla prasina, 734 nucleotides. RefSeq lists it as uncharacterized. Lineage: Eukaryota; Metazoa; Chordata; Lepidosauria; Squamata; Colubridae. The transcript is spliced from 3 exons. The record is from RefSeq and is a predicted model, not a curated record.